GACGAACGCUGGCGGCGUGCUUAACACAUGCAAGUCGAACGAUGAACCCGGAGCUUGCUCCGGUGGAUUAGUGGCGAACGGGUGAGUAACACGUGAGUAACCUGCCCUUGACUCUGGGAUAACUGCGGGAAACUGUAGCUAAUACCGGAUACGACCCUCGGCGGCAUCGCCAGGGGGUGGAAAGAAUUUCGGUCAAGGAUGGACUCGCGGCCUAUCAGCUAGUUGGUGAGGUAACGGCUCACCAAGGCGACGACGGGUAGCCGGCCUGAGAGGGCGACCGGCCACACUGGGACUGAGAUACGGCCCAGACUCCUACGGGAGGCAGCAGUGGGGAAUAUUGCACAAUGGGCGCAAGCCUGAUGCAGCGACGCCGCGUGAGGGAUGACGGCCUUCGGGUUGUAAACCUCUUUCAGCAUCGACGAAGCGAAAGUGACGGUAGGUGCAGAAGAAGGACCGGCCAACUACGUGCCAGCCGCCGCUGUAA
Molecule: ribosomal RNA, 484 nt
Filed under: uncultured bacterium
Lineage: Bacteria
Description: partial 16S ribosomal RNA
Rfam family: Bacterial small subunit ribosomal RNA
Source: RNAcentral